This 408-nucleotide unclassified non-coding RNA is filed under the name Hevea brasiliensis (rubber tree). Lineage: Eukaryota; Viridiplantae; Streptophyta; Magnoliopsida; Malpighiales; Euphorbiaceae. The record is from RNAcentral.
AAAAAAAAAAAACCUGUGAAUCUGAUUCAAACAGCACCUUGGUUAGGUCACCUCCCUUAGAUUUUCUGAUAGCUUGUAACAAAGUCAUUGCCUCUCUAACCAAAAUGGAACUACAUGAAUCUUUAAAGUGAGCCCCAUCACUAAAAUUCCACUUUGAAUUUCUGCAAAGGACAGCAAUACCAGCAGGUCCUAAUAAAGACACAUCACAGUUAAAUUUGUAAAAUCCUUCUUGGGGAGGAGACUAUUUGAGUCUCUAUGAUUUGUUGUAGAUGGAUGGGAGGGCCUUGCCACGAAUAAAGAGGGUGUUUCUGUAAAUUAUAGGCAUGCCUUUCUUGCAUUUUGAGCAGUAGAAGGGAUUAGGAGUUAUCUUCUUAAAGACAUUCAUUUCUGCUUUUCCAAAUAAGCCAG